CCAGCUCCUGUCUCUGGUGGACUCAGGGACGCUUCCUUGAUGCUCAGGAGGUAAAGUUAAAAAAUCAUCUGGAAGUCAGUAUACACAUCUCCAUUUUCAUGUAGAGGAAAGAAGUAGAGCUUAAAAAUAACAUUACUGUAAGGUGGGUGUUUUCUUUUGGUUUGUUUCUUCCACUUCAGAGAUUAUUAGGUUCAAAGCUGCAGUCAGAUCAAUUACUGAGCCUUUCCUUGUUCUCAGAUUGCCUUCUCUCAAUCCACACCCUUCUCUCCACCCACUCUUAUCUAACUUGCUGACUAACCAAGCUCAGUGCACAGUAAGACACUAACAUACAGCUACUGAAGAGAAAAGGUACAAAACCACAAGUGAUGAGCAAAGUAUGGGAAAAACCACUGUUGUGAACACAUUUACCGCAAGACAGCAGCUAAAGGACAAUGAAGAACAAAUAACACCACCGACCUGACUAAUUAAUGUCCAUGAAGCAACUGGAACAUAAUUACAGAAAAGUAAGAAAAGGUCAAUAAAAUCAGUAAUUACCUUUCACAGAUAGACUGAUCCACAAAUACAUUUUAAAGCACACAUACAUAGAUGACUCUUAAGUCUUUCUCCAUUCUUUAACCUUCAUAUCCCUAGGCAGGUCUCCAUGAAGUAAAAGUAUGCUGAAGUCACCAGGAAUUAUACUAGACCUACAGGGAUGAAACUGUAGCCCACCUUUUUCCACAGACCUCUCUCACUUUGCUUAUACUUGCACCAUGAUAAAGAACUCAUUAUAAAGUUAAAGAACACUGAAUACCUACCAGCUGUCUGUACCAACAGGAGAGGCUAAACUUGACUCAAAUCCAAAAGAUACAGACCUCCAGAAAACCACAUUAAUGUCUUUACCAUAUGCUACUUAGCUAUAGGAGACCCGCUGGAAAUCAGACCAGGAAACUGCUCACUAUGCCACAAGAACAGAUCAACCUGCUAUAGAACACAAAUGCUUUACGCUCCCCUCAGAGCACCCACAUAACAGAUCUACACAAUCAACAGUAAUUACC
Long non-coding RNA from Gallus gallus (chicken), 1034 nucleotides. NCBI's taxonomy places the organism in Eukaryota, Metazoa, Chordata, Aves, Galliformes, Phasianidae. The record is from Ensembl.